GACGAACGCUGGCGGCGUGCUUAACACAUGCAAGUCGAACGGAAAGGCCCUGCUUUCGUGGGGUGCUCGAGUGGCGAACGGGUGAGUAACACGUGAGUAACCUGCCCUUGACUUUGGGAUAACUUCAGGAAACUGGGGAUAAUACCGGAUAGGAGCUCCUGCUGCAUGGUGGGGGUUGGAAAGUUUCGGCGGUUGGGGAUGGACUCGCGGCUUAUCAGCUUGUUGGUGGGGUAGUGGCUUACCAAGGCUUUGACGGGUAGGCGGCCUGAGAGGGUGACCCGCCAGAUGGGAACUGGAGACGGCCCCAGACUCAGUGAGGAGCCAGCAGUUGCACUCAUUGCACCGCGGGGGGAAGCGUGCAGCGCAAGAGGCGCGUGCGGAAUGACGGUCUUCGGGUUCGCAGGAGGGGUCGCCUGUGACGGAGCGUUAGUGACGGUAAUGGGUAAGAGAGCACCGGCUAACUACGU
RNAcentral lists this ribosomal RNA (467 nucleotides) under uncultured bacterium. RNAcentral's name for it is "partial 16S ribosomal RNA". It matches the Rfam family "Bacterial small subunit ribosomal RNA", at positions 28 to 506 of the family's 1533-position model. The record is from RNAcentral.